GGUUCGAUGGUCUAAUGGUUAUGAUUUCUGUCUCACAUCAAUCACACAGAAGGUUCCCAGUUCGAUCCUGGGUCGAGCCA
This 80-nucleotide transfer RNA is filed under the name Rhizopogon vinicolor AM-OR11-026. RNAcentral describes it as "tRNA-Val". It matches the Rfam family "tRNA". From Rfam's summary of the family: Transfer RNA (tRNA) molecules are approximately 80 nucleotides in length. Their secondary structure includes four short double-helical elements and three loops (D, anti-codon, and T loops). Further hydrogen bonds mediate the characteristic L-shaped molecular structure. tRNAs have two regions of fundamental functional importance: the anti-codon, which is responsible for specific mRNA codon recognition, and the 3' end, to which the tRNAs corresponding amino acid is attached (by aminoacyl-tRNA synthetases). tRNAs cope with the degeneracy of the genetic code in two manners: having more than one tRNA (with a specific anti-codon) for a particular amino acid; and 'wobble' base-pairing, i.e. permitting non-standard base-pairing at the 3rd anti-codon position. The record is from RNAcentral. Lineage: Eukaryota; Fungi; Basidiomycota; Agaricomycetes; Boletales; Rhizopogonaceae.